CUACAUACAAUAAGCGGAGGAAAAGAAACCAACAGGGAUUGCCCUAGUAACGGCGAGUGAAGCGGCAACAGCUCAAAUUUGAAAUCUGGCGUCAGCCCGAGUUGUAAUUUGUAGAGGAUGCUUCUGGGUAGCGGCCGUUCUAAGUUCCUUGGAACAGGACGUCAUAGAGGGUGAGAAUCCCGUACGUGACCGGCGCGCACCCUCCACGUAGCUCCUUCGACGAGUCGAGUUGUUUGGGAAUGCAGCUCUAAAUGGGAGGUAAAUUUCUUCUAAAGCUAAAUACCGGCCAGAGACCGAUAGCGCACAAGUAGAGUGAUCGAAAGAUGAAAAGCACUUUGGAAAGAGAGUUAAAAAGCACGUGAAAUUGUUGAAAGGGAAGCGCUCACAACCAGACUUCGUAGCGGUGUUCCCCCGGUCUUCUGACCGGGUCAUUCGCCGUCGCGAGGCCAACAUCAUCUGGGGCCGCUGGAUAAGACCGUUAGAAUGUAGCUCCUCUCGGGGAGUGUUAUAGCUAGCGGUGAUGCGGCGUGUCCCGGGUGAGGUCCGCACUUCGGUAAGGAUGUUGGCGUAAUGGUUGUCAGCGGCCCGUCUUGAAACACGGACCAAGGAGUCUAACAUCUAUGCGAGUGUUCGGGUGUCAAACCCCUACGCGUAAUGAAAGUGAACGGAGGUGGGAACGCAAGUGCACCAUCGACCGAUCCUGAUGUCCUCGGAUGGAUUUGAGUAAGAGCAUAGCUGUUGGGACCCGAAAGAUGGUGAACUAUGCCUGAAUAGGGUGAAGCCAGAGGAAACUCUGGUGGAGGCUCGCAGCGGUUCUGACGUGCAAAUCGAUCGUCAAAUUUGGGCAUAGGUGCGAAAGACUAAUCGA
RNAcentral lists this ribosomal RNA (868 nucleotides) under Passalora helicteris-viscidae. Its description in RNAcentral is "eukaryotic LSU rRNA". It matches the Rfam family "Eukaryotic large subunit ribosomal RNA", at positions 34 to 938 of the family's 3401-position model. Lineage: Eukaryota; Fungi; Ascomycota; Dothideomycetes; Mycosphaerellales; Mycosphaerellaceae. The record is from RNAcentral.